UCGUCCCACAAGCUAGCCAGGAAAAUGAGGACGCCAGGAAAAGAGGGAAGGGGAGAGGAGGAGAGAUUAAGUAAAUUGUUCUGUCCGAGACUGAAACUUGCUUGGCUGGUGCCCCAGGAUGUCAGAACUGUGCUCUGCAGGCUGCUUUCUCCUGCUAGCUCACUGUCUCUUCUCUUAAAAAAUUGAAUUAGGUGAAUCUGAUUGGCACUAUCCAAAGGAAGCAAACAGAAGUCACAAAAUCUGGUUUGUGCAAGGACUCUGCAGAGACCUGGAAAGUGGCACAAUGAACUAAGGCUUCAGCUCUGGUGCAUAUGGUCAUUAGUUCAACGCCCAGCAUCACGCCCAGCCAGAGUGAUGCUUUGGUUCUCUCUUUGUCAUUAAUAAAUAAAU
Molecule: long non-coding RNA, 390 nt
Organism: Erinaceus europaeus (western European hedgehog)
Lineage: Eukaryota; Metazoa; Chordata; Mammalia; Eulipotyphla; Erinaceidae
Exons: 2
Source: RefSeq, a predicted model, not a curated record